Molecule: transfer RNA, 86 nt
Filed under: Caudoviricetes sp.
Lineage: Duplodnaviria; Heunggongvirae; Uroviricota; Caudoviricetes
Description: tRNA-Ser
Rfam family: tRNA
About the family: Transfer RNA (tRNA) molecules are approximately 80 nucleotides in length. Their secondary structure includes four short double-helical elements and three loops (D, anti-codon, and T loops).
Source: RNAcentral
GGAGGGUUACCCAAGUUGGUGAAGGGGCGGGUUUGCUAAACCCGUAGGUCCUUAGGGGCACGCGAGUUCGAGCCUCGCACCCUCCG